RNAcentral lists this long non-coding RNA (1251 nucleotides) under Equus caballus (horse). Its description in RNAcentral is "lncRNA (ENSECAG00000048074.1)". Lineage: Eukaryota; Metazoa; Chordata; Mammalia; Perissodactyla; Equidae. The record is from RNAcentral.
GGGUUCCAAGACAGCAAAAGAAGAAGCCGUAAGGCCUCUUCCAGUUACCAUUUACCAAGAACCUAACAUCUGCGAGAUCCGGGGGCAGGGCUUCCAGAGAGUGAUCCCAUUCAGGCCUCAGGGCACCUUGAGAGAGAGCUUGUCAUCGUCAACCCUAUGUCACAGGUAACAGAUCAGGUGGAGAACAGCCCUGAGACCACAUACUGCCAGCAUCACAGGCUUGGUCCCCAUGCAGAGAGCCUGCGACAGGACUUGAAACGGGAGACCCUGGCUCCAUGCUCAGCGCCGGCACUCACUUCUCAACCCCGGGCAAAUGACUUCAUCCGUGGGCGCAUCCACGAAAGGACCCGGCACUGGAGACACCUUCCAGCUCCCGCAUCCAGCUGGGCGUGAAGCUAAAUCUCCUGCUGAACCUUUCGGUUAGAGGAGCCAGUCAGCCUCCUUUCAAGCUUAGGCUGGUUUGAACUGGGUUUUUUCCCCUCGGUAGAGUAGUCUCCAAGCAAUGUAGGAUUAAAUGAACAAACACAGUCAAGGCGCCGAGCACGGAGCCCGGGACAGAGUCUGCCAGGCUUCUUUCCCAGGACAUGUGAUCAGAUUCCUGCUGGCUUGUCCCACUAGCCUGUCAGGCGGACCCCGGUCCCAGGUCCACUGUGCCUCUCCGCAUCACCCCAGAGGGCACCCUCUGCAUCGUGGUCAAAUGGCUGCCUGCAACCAGGAUGCACCCCAGCCUGCCCAGGCCCCAACCCCAGCGUUAGACAAGCUUAGGUUCAGUCUGGGUCCCGGUGACACAAUUCUGCGCCCCACUUAAUGCUUUUUGUGGACAUUUUCCCUCGUCAUUAGUAUUCUUUGAGAGCCUGAUCUUUAAUGUCUAACCAUCCAGAAUGAAGAUUUCCCAUAGUUUUUUUUAGCCAUGCUCCUAUUGUUUGGUAUUUAGGCUAUUUCCCAUUCUCCACUUUGCAAGUUACGCUGUAAAAGCAUAUUUGCACGCAGAAUUUUGACUGCAUCCUAGGUUGUUUUCCUGGGAUGGAUUUCUAGAAGCAAAAUGACUAGGCUGUGGGCAGUUUUAUUGCUCGACUAUUGAGAUGCUCAGUUUUGAAGCAACAUCUGUCCCCUCUUUAAACGCCCCGGUCCACUGCUAACCAGUCUCCAUUGCCCAGGCCUUCACUAAGUGAGCGCUGGAGGCGCUGGAGGCGAGGUCUGCGGUGAGCAUCCCAAGUGCCUUUUCUUACUCAUCACAACGCUAUCGCAUGG